This 253-nucleotide ribosomal RNA is filed under the name uncultured bacterium. RNAcentral describes it as "partial 16S ribosomal RNA". It matches the Rfam family "Bacterial small subunit ribosomal RNA", at positions 80 to 334 of the family's 1533-position model. The record is from RNAcentral.
UUUCUUUGCUGGCGACCGGCGCACGGGUGAGUAACACGUAUCCAACCUGCCCUUUACUCGGGGAUAGCCUUUCGAAAGAAAGAUUAAUACCCGAUGGCAUAGUUCUUCCGCAUGGUAGAACUAUUAAAGAAUUUCGGUCAUCGAUGGGGAUGCGUUCCAUUAGGUUGUUGGCGGGGUAACGGCCCACCAAGCCUUCGAUGGAUAGGGGUUCUGAGAGGAAGGUCCCCCACAUUGGAACUGAGACACGGUCCAA